This 520-nucleotide ribosomal RNA is filed under the name uncultured bacterium. RNAcentral describes it as "bacterial SSU rRNA". It matches the Rfam family "Bacterial small subunit ribosomal RNA", at positions 8 to 526 of the family's 1533-position model. The record is from RNAcentral.
AGAGUUUGAUCCUGGCUCAGAUUGAACGCUGGCGGCAUGCUUUACACAUGCAAGUCGAACGGGGGUGGGGGCAACUCCACUUCAGUGGCGAACGGGUGAGUAAUGCAUCGGAACGUGUCCCGUAGUGGGGGAUAACGCCGCGAAAGCGGCGCUAAUACCGCAUACGCUCUGUGGAGGAAAGCCGGGGACCCGCAAGGGCCUGGUGCUAGGGGAGCGGCCGAUGUCCGAUUAGCUAGUUGGUGGGGUAAUGGCUUACCAAGGCAACGAUCGGUAGCUGGUCUGAGAGGAUGAUCAGCCACACUGGGACUGAGACACGGCCCAGACUCCUACGGGAGGCAGCAGUGGGGAAUAUUGGACAAUGGGCGAAAGCCUGAUCCAGCAAUGCCGCGUGUGUGAAGAAGGCCUGCGGGUUGUAAAGCACUUUCGGUAGGGACGAAAAAGAUCGGGCUAAUAUCCCGGUUCUUGACUUAACCUAUAGAAGAAGCACCGGCUAACUCUGUGCCAGCCGCCGCGGUAAUAC